RNAcentral lists this ribosomal RNA (568 nucleotides) under Streptomyces danangensis. RNAcentral describes it as "bacterial SSU rRNA". It matches the Rfam family "Bacterial small subunit ribosomal RNA", at positions 338 to 916 of the family's 1533-position model. Lineage: Bacteria; Bacillati; Actinomycetota; Actinomycetes; Kitasatosporales; Streptomycetaceae. The record is from RNAcentral.
CCUACGGGAGGCAGCAGUGGGGAAUAUUGCACAAUGGGCGCAAGCCUGAUGCAGCGACGCCGCGUGAGGGAUGACGGCCUUCGGGUUGUAAACCUCUUUCAGCAGGGAAGAAGCGAGAGUGACGGUACCUGCAGAAGAAGCGCCGGCUAACUACGUGCCAGCAGCCGCGGUAAUACGUAGGGCGCAAGCGUUGUCCGGAAUUAUUGGGCGUAAAGAGCUCGUAGGCGGCUUGUCGCGUCGGUUGUGAAAGCCCGGGGCUUAACCCCGGGUCUGCAGUCGAUACGGGCAGGCUAGAGUUCGGUAGGGGAGAUCGGAAUUCCUGGUGUAGCGGUGAAAUGCGCAGAUAUCAGGAGGAACACCGGUGGCGAAGGCGGAUCUCUGGGCCGAUACUGACGCUGAGGAGCGAAAGCGUGGGGAGCGAACAGGAUUAGAUACCCUGGUAGUCCACGCCGUAAACGGUGGGCACUAGGUGUGGGCAACAUUCCACGUUGUCCGUGCCGCAGCUAACGCAUUAAGUGCCCCGCCUGGGGAGUACGGCCGCAAGGCUAAAACUCAAAGGAAUUGACGG